CCAGCCACGCACCAGACGCCAAGAACAGAGCAGGUCUCCGUCUCCCACUCUUCCUCUCUCGAUGCAAAUCUCCAAACCUAGCUGACCGUUGACGGCGCCGGCGCCAUCGCCAGCAAGCGAGGUCCGACAGACGAGGUGGGCCCUCUGCCCCUCUGGCCGUCUCCCUUCCCUCCCCUCCGGCCUCCAUGGCUGUGGUCCGUGCGGGGCAGCGCCGCUGUGGGCUUCCUCCGGCCUCCGUCGCCGUCGGCAGUCACCGCUUCAGUCCGCCAGCCGAGAGGCUAGAAGGGGAAGCCACCCAAUGUCCAAUCCAUCCAGUACUGCAUCCACCUACAAAUUACCAAGUCCAUGCCACAUUGCAACUGCCACUUAUUUCUACUUUGUUUGUGUGAUGUAAGAUGAAGAAGUAUGUUGGCAUAUUUGAAUUGUGGGACAUAUCUUCAAACUAAGGCAAGGAAAACAAUUUCUACGUCCACAUUUGUUGUUUGUUCUAUUA
This is a long non-coding RNA of Triticum dicoccoides, 493 nucleotides long. RefSeq lists it as uncharacterized. Lineage: Eukaryota; Viridiplantae; Streptophyta; Magnoliopsida; Poales; Poaceae. The record is from RefSeq and is a predicted model, not a curated record. The transcript has 2 exons.